CCUACGGGAGGCAGCAGUGAGGAAUAUUGGUCAAUGGGCGCGCGCCUGAACCAGCCAAGUCGCGUGAGGGAAGACGGCCCUACGGGUUGUAAACCUCUUUUGCCGGGGAGCAACGCGCGCCACGUGUGGCGCCCCUGAGAGUACCCGGAGAAAAAGCCUCGGCUAACUCCGUGCCAGCAGCCGCGGUAAUACGGAGGAUGCGAGCUGUAUCCGGAUUUAUUGGGUUUAAAGGGUGCGUAGGCGGAGCGUUAAGUCAGUGGUCAAAUUGAGGGGCUCAACCCCUUCCCGCCAUUGAAACUGGCGAUCUUGAGUGGAAGAGAAGUAUGCGGAAUGCGUGGUGUAGCGGUGAAAGGCAUAGAUAUCACGCAGAACCCCGAUUGCGAAGGCAGCAUGCCGGCGUCCGACUGACGCUGAAGCACGAAAGCGUGGGGAUCGAACAGGAUUAGAUACCCGUGUAGUC
This 460-nucleotide ribosomal RNA is filed under the name uncultured bacterium. RNAcentral's name for it is "partial 16S ribosomal RNA". It matches the Rfam family "Bacterial small subunit ribosomal RNA", at positions 338 to 795 of the family's 1533-position model. The record is from RNAcentral.